ACGAACGCUGGCGGCGUGCUUAACACAUGCAAGUCGAACGGUAAGGCCCCUUCGGGGGUACACGAGUGGCGAACGGGUGAGUAACACGUGAGCAACCUGCCCUUGACUCUGGAAUAACAGUUGGAAACAGCUGCUAAUACUGGAUAUUCAUCGUCUCCUUCCUGGGGGGUGGUGGAAAGCUCCGGCGGUCAGGGAUGGGCUCGCGGCCUAUCAGCUUGUUGGUGAGGUAAUGGCUCACCAAGGCUUCGACGGGUAGCCGGCCUGAGAGGGCGACCGGCCACACUGGGACUGAGAUACGGCCCAGACUCCUACGGGAGGCAGCAGUGGGGAAUAUUGCACAAUGGGCGCAAGCCUGAUGCAGCAACGCCGCGUGCGGGAUGACGGCCUUCGGGUUGUAAACCGCUUUCAGUAGGGACGAAGGGUGACUGACGGUACCUACAGAAGAAGAACCGGCUAACUACGUG
This 464-nucleotide ribosomal RNA is filed under the name uncultured bacterium. Its description in RNAcentral is "partial 16S ribosomal RNA". It matches the Rfam family "Bacterial small subunit ribosomal RNA", at positions 29 to 507 of the family's 1533-position model. The record is from RNAcentral.